This 253-nucleotide ribosomal RNA is filed under the name uncultured prokaryote. RNAcentral's name for it is "partial 16S ribosomal RNA". It matches the Rfam family "Bacterial small subunit ribosomal RNA", at positions 524 to 776 of the family's 1533-position model. The record is from RNAcentral.
AACGGAGGGUGCAAGCGUUGUUCGGAAUUACUGGGCGUAAAGCGCGUGCAGGUGGUCUUUUAAGUUUCGUGUGAAAGCCCUCGGCUUAACCGAGGAACGGCACGGAAAACUGAGAGACUUGAAUACGGGAGAAGAGGGCGGAAUUCCCAGUGUAGAGGUGAAAUUCGUAGAUAUCUGGAGGAAUACCGGUGGCGAAGGCGGCAUCCUGGACCAUAACUGACGCUGAGGCGCGAAAGCUAGGGGAGCAAACGGG